GGUUGCUUCAUCAAGUAACAGUAUUUUUGGGUCCCGAAGAAGAGCUCUCGCUAUGGCAAUCCGUUGCUUUUGACCUCCAGACAUUUGGAAACCAAACUGACCGACCUGAAAAGAAGUCGACAUACCAAAGUUGAUAACUAGUUUUCGAGCCGCGAAGUCUUAGACAGCAACCUAAUUCUGUCCAUCAUAAUCUUGCCGAACACAAGCCCUGGACCAAUGAACAUGGCCGAGAGCGGGAUGACUGCAAAGGUGAAUUUCCACGAUACUAUAAAGGCAAAUACGUGGCAGAAGAAGAAUGUUGACAUAGUUUUCCAUAAGAAAAGGCAACAUACCAAAGAGGAGCAAGCCUUACCUUGUCAACCAUAUCGUUUGUCAAGCCACUGUUCUUGUCUCCAUAAGCAUUGAUUACAUCCUUAAGAAGGAACAUCGUGAGAGGGAUCUGUGAUCCAUCUCCUAUGCUGCCCAAAGUCCCAAAAAACAUCAGAAACUUGUCGAAGCCAUCAGCAUACCGAAACAUGCUUUUGCCUGCCAUUUUUUCAGCUCUGUGGUUUAGAAGAGUGACAGAGAGAAAGAGAGGAGCAGCAUUCUCUGAAAUGGCCAAUGCCAGGGUCAAAAUUGGUCACGAGCACGGGGCUUAGUCAAGUAGAAUCGGGUUGCACUGCUGGAUGCUCUGAUCGAAAAAAAUCAGUGGGGCCAUGCCGGUACGACUGAAUAUGCAUUAGAAAUGUCAAUCCCUCCGCUACUACACCAAAAAAAAUCGGGCCGAACUUUUACCCACCUGCUUCCAUGGAACAAUAUCAUGACAACGUAGACCAAAGUGGUCAUAUUGGAUCAUUGGAAACCAUCACAAGUAUGGCCGGCUUAUAUUUGAACGAGAAUGUCGUGUUGUCGAACGAAAUUUGCCCAAAAAAAAUGUUUGUAGUUAAAAAUGGUAUCAUGUCGGGUUGCGGGUUACACCUGUAACUCUAGACUUUGAAAGUUUCACUUUUAUCCAUUUUGUUUCAGAAAAAAUACCUUUGAACUU
This is a long non-coding RNA of Cucurbita pepo subsp. pepo (vegetable marrow), 1024 nucleotides long. RefSeq lists it as uncharacterized. Lineage: Eukaryota; Viridiplantae; Streptophyta; Magnoliopsida; Cucurbitales; Cucurbitaceae. The record is from RefSeq and is a predicted model, not a curated record.